AUACGGAGGGUGCAAGCGUUAUCCGGAAUCACUGGGUUUAAAGGGUGCGUAGGUGGUUUGAUAAGUCAGAGGUGAAAGCCCACCGCUUAACGGUGGAACUGCCUUUGAUACUGUCAGACUUGAAUAAGGCUGAGGUCGGCGGAAUGUGUCAUGUAGCGGUGAAAUGCAUAGAUAUGACAUAGAACACCAAUUGCGAAGGCAGCUGACUAGACCUUUAUUGACACUGAGGCACGAAAGCGUGGGGAGCGAACAGGAUUAGAUACCCCGGUAGUCC
RNAcentral lists this ribosomal RNA (274 nucleotides) under uncultured bacterium. RNAcentral describes it as "partial 16S ribosomal RNA". It matches the Rfam family "Bacterial small subunit ribosomal RNA", at positions 523 to 796 of the family's 1533-position model. The record is from RNAcentral.